This 59-nucleotide transfer RNA is filed under the name Caudoviricetes sp. Its description in RNAcentral is "tRNA-OTHER". It matches the Rfam family "tRNA", at positions 8 to 63 of the family's 71-position model. Rfam says of the family: Transfer RNA (tRNA) molecules are approximately 80 nucleotides in length. Lineage: Duplodnaviria; Heunggongvirae; Uroviricota; Caudoviricetes. The record is from RNAcentral.
UGGCGCAAUAGAAAGCAUGGCGGACUUCAAAUCCGUUAGAUGCAGGUUCAAAUCCUGUG